Molecule: long non-coding RNA, 195 nt
Organism: Perognathus longimembris pacificus (Pacific pocket mouse)
Lineage: Eukaryota; Metazoa; Chordata; Mammalia; Rodentia; Heteromyidae
Exons: 3
Source: RefSeq, a predicted model, not a curated record
CCCCAAUGUUGUGCUGCACCCCAAUGUUUCCCCAUCCUCAGCAGAAUCCUUUCCUCCUUUAGCAUGCUCUUACAAGGUCCAAGGGCAUCUUUAAGGGUUCUUUGGCCCUUUCUCAACACUAGAACUUAUCCCUAGUCCUUAAAGCUCACAACUUGUUUAAUGGUUAUUCCAACUGAAAGUCUGGGAAAAAGCUGC